UGAUGAAUCCUUGUUAAUGUAGGUGUUA
This 28-nucleotide non-coding RNA is filed under the name Homo sapiens (human). The record is from RNAcentral. Lineage: Eukaryota; Metazoa; Chordata; Mammalia; Primates; Hominidae.